This 253-nucleotide ribosomal RNA is filed under the name uncultured bacterium. Its description in RNAcentral is "partial 16S ribosomal RNA". It matches the Rfam family "Bacterial small subunit ribosomal RNA", at positions 524 to 776 of the family's 1533-position model. The record is from RNAcentral.
UACGUAGGCAGCGAGCGUUGUUCGGAGUUACUGGGCGUAAAGGGUGCGCAGGCGGUGGAGCAAGUCUGUUGUGAAAUCUCCCGGCUUAACCGGGAGGGUGCGGCGGAAACUGUUCUGCUGGAGUGAGGGAGAGGCAAGCGGAAUUCCUGGUGUAGUGGUGGAAUGCGUAGAUAUCAGGAGGAACACCAGUGGCGAAGGCGGCUCUCUGGACCGGUGCUGACGCUCAGGCGCGAAAGCGUGGGGAGCGAUCCGG